AACAGCUGCACAGACCCUGCUCACAGAGACACAGACUUUUUAUAACAUGUAUAAAACGUAGAGUGGAUUUAAUCCUUAAAAGACACUUUCUGUCCAUCGUCGUGGAGCCGGAACUUGGUUUAUGGAAAAAAUUACAGCCCAGUGGUCCGAAGCUGACGAUGCCGUGAACCUCCCACGUGGGGUUGGCUCCAGCGGCCGUGCAGACCAAAGGACCCCCAGAGUCGCCCUGCAGGAAAACAGCAAAGAUUUAGUGCACAGCAUGAAACAGUGAGCAGCUGUCAGGACCCACUCCUCGUGGAUCAGAGAGCCUCCACAGCCGUGCAUGCACCCAGAGGUAAAGGAGUCAACAGUACCUGCAUGGACACUUGCCAGGGCCAGGAGUGUGGGACUGCCUCUACCCCAUUGACCACCCUGGUUGUCGCUGUGCUGGGUUUCACCGCUGGGUUUCCACAGUCUUUCGGCCAGCCUGGCAAGAGAAAAUGUAGAAUUCAGUUAUCAAUACAUAAUACAUAUUUAUUUGUGCAGUGCGAGAAGUUUAUGCACGAAAUACUGGAUGGAUUACCUGUAAUAUUGGUUUAAGGAUGUGGUAUGGGUAAGGGAAGAAUCCAUUACUUUUAUUCAAAUCACUUUCUUUAAUAAUGCAAGUUAUGGAGGCUUCUUUGAAAUUUUUUACCAUUUUUCACAGUGAAUAAUUCAUAGA
Long non-coding RNA from Pleuronectes platessa (European plaice), 700 nucleotides. RefSeq lists it as uncharacterized. The transcript has 4 exons. The record is from RefSeq and is a predicted model, not a curated record. NCBI's taxonomy places the organism in Eukaryota, Metazoa, Chordata, Actinopteri, Pleuronectiformes, Pleuronectidae.